RNAcentral lists this transfer RNA (73 nucleotides) under Enterococcus faecalis. RNAcentral's name for it is "tRNA-Ile". It matches the Rfam family "tRNA". Rfam says of the family: Transfer RNA (tRNA) molecules are approximately 80 nucleotides in length. The record is from RNAcentral. Lineage: Bacteria; Bacillati; Bacillota; Bacilli; Lactobacillales; Enterococcaceae.
UGACAGAUAGCUCAGUUGGUAGAGUGCAGCACUUAUAAUGCUGAAGUCGGCGGUUCAAGUCCGUCUCUGUCAA